GUUUGAUCCUGGCUCAGAGCGAACGUUAGCGGCAGGCUUAACACAUGCAAGUCGAGCGAGAAAGGGGCUUCGGCUCCGAGUAAAGCGGCGGACGGGUGCGUAACACGUGGAUAAUCUGCCUCGUGGCGGGGACAACAGUCCGAAAGGACUGCUAAUACCGCAUGUCAGGUCGGAAACUCCGGUUUCUGACGAAAAGAGGGCGUCCGCAAGGAGCUCUCACCACGAGAUGAGUCCGCGUCCCAUCAGCUAGUUGGCGGUGUAAUGGACCACCAAGGCUUAGACGGGUAGCUGGUCUGAGAGGAUGACCAGCCACACUGGGACUGAGACACGGCCCAGACUCCUACGGGAGGCAGCAGUGGGGAAUAUUGGACAAUGGGCGAAAGCCUGAUCCAGCCAUGCCGCGUGAGUGAUGAAGGCCUCGGUCGUAAGACUCUGUGGGGA
Molecule: ribosomal RNA, 441 nt
Filed under: uncultured bacterium
Lineage: Bacteria
Description: bacterial SSU rRNA
Rfam family: Bacterial small subunit ribosomal RNA
Source: RNAcentral